Molecule: ribosomal RNA, 4038 nt
Filed under: Candidatus Staskawiczbacteria bacterium RIFOXYB1_FULL_32_11
Lineage: Bacteria; Candidatus Staskawicziibacteriota
Description: 23S ribosomal RNA
Rfam family: Bacterial large subunit ribosomal RNA
Source: RNAcentral
AAGAAAAUAGGUUAUAUGCGAAUGGUGGAUGCCUUGGGAUAUUGAGGCGAUGAAAGACGUGGCGUGCCUGCGAUAAGCUUCGGGGAGGUGGCUAGCAACCUUUGAUCCGGAGAUUUCUGAAUGAGGAAACUCUACAGUGUUAAUACAUUGUAAUCUGUCCAACUUUUUGUACAAAAAAAUGAAGAGUAGUCAUGGCUGGAAACAGCACUUUCUUGGAUCACUUUCUUGCUCCUUCUUGGGGUGAUUUAAGAAAGCCUCGAAACAUGGCUACUCUUCUAAAUUAAAGACUGAGUCGAAAUCGUCGUUAUGCUGGAAUCCAAUUGCCAGUAAACAUAAAGGGGCGCCACGAAUCGACUCAGUCCCUUUUUCAAUUUAUAAUUGAGUACAAAAAGUUGGACAGAAGCUAACCCGGUGAAGUGAAACAUCUCAGUAGCCGGAGGAAAAUAAAAAAAUGUGUUUUACUUCGUAAAACACGCAUUCCCUUAUUAGUGGCGAGCGAAAAGGGAACAGUCUAAACCAGUAUUUAUAUUGGUGUUGUAAGGAUUUAACGUCGGGGGCAUUAUUUGUUUCUCGUAUAGUCGAGAAAUAAAUAAUGUGAUCCGAGGGAGAAUAAGUUAAAAGGGUUAAAAGAAGCACUCUGGAAAGAGGCGCCAUAGGAGGUAAUAGCCCUGUAUUUAAAAAUUCUUUUAUGCUCCUUGUUAAGUUUCUUAAGUACUGUCGGGAAUGAUAACCCGGCAGGAAGCAGGCUAAACUAUUAGCCAAGACUAAAUACUCAAUAUCACCGAUAGUGAACCAGUACCGUGAGGGAAAGGUUAAAAGUAGGCCGUUGAGGCCGGUGAAAUAGAACCUGAAACCAUUUGCUUACAAAGAGUUGGAGCCUGGCGCAAGCCGGGUGACAGCGUGCUUUUUGCAGAACGAGCCAACGAGUUUUAUUAUGCGGUUUGUCUAAGCCCUUCUGGGGCGCAGNNNNNNNNNNNNNNNNNAAAGACCCGAAGCCAGACGAGCUUACCUUGAGCAGGAUGAGCCUCUCCGAAAGGAGAGGGGAGGUCCGAACCCGUGAGACGUGCAAUCCUCUGGGAUGACUUGAGGUAAGGAGUGAAAAGCUAAUCGAGUUUGGUAAUAGCUGGUUCUUCCCGAAACAGCUUUGGGGCUGGCGUCUAUGAUACAUUGUGGGGGUAGAGCACUGAAUAGAAUUCCUUGGAGUUUCUCCAGGUAUUCUAAUCAAACUCCGAAUACCAUAAUCUUUUACAUAGGCAGUAAGACUACGGGGGCUAAGCUCCGUGGUCAAAAGAGUAACAGCUCAGAUCAUCGUCUAAGGUCCCUAAAUUAAACUAAGUGUUUUGAAGGCAGUAUUUUGCCCUCGACAGGCAGGAAGUUAGCUUAGAGGUAGCUAUCUUUUAAAGAGUGUGUAACAACUCACUGUCCAAACUUCUGGCUUUUGCCAGAGGAGGGGCGAAACGCGCCAAAGAUUUCCGGGACUAAAGUUUAAUACCGAAGACAUGGAUGCAACCAUACCUCAGUGCGCUGAGGAUGGAAUUACUAAUUUCUAAUUAACCUAAUUUCUAAUUAAGUGCUAAUUUUUUACCAAAUUCCAAAUAAGUUCUAAAAAUAUACAAGUUAAAAGCCGUUGAUGUUAUCGCAGGCUCUAGUUCGUCAGUUAUAGGAACUGACACCUUUCCUUAUUCGUUCCAGCCUCCGAUCUCGAAUGAGGGGUGCAUCAUCAAGAGCGCCUUGACCUCUUGACCCGGCUGGAUGGCGGGUAAGUGGCUGAAACUGUCGUUCCCCUCAAUCCGGACAUAACAGGGCAAGGGUUCUCCCGUAUUGUUCUUGAGGAAAACGUUGCCAUUCCGAUCGACCCGGAUUUCCAAUUUGUACGACGGCAUUUGCGGUCUCCUUUGUUAGUUGACUGGAUUGAACUUUAACACAAUUUAAUUAUAGCAUAUUAAAGAAACCUUGUCAAUAGGCAAAAACAAGAAAAAACAAAAUGUAGAAUUUAUUUGGGAUUUGGUAAUUGGUAUUUAUUUAGAAAUUAGAAAUUUAGAUUUAGAAAUUCCACCCGAGCGUAGCGAGGUGUGGUUGCGUGGUAGGGAAGCAUUCUUAGUGCACUGAAGCCGGCGGGUAACCAAAGGUGGAGCGCUAAGAAGAGAGAAUGUUGGCCUGAGUAACCGCAAUGCAGAUGAAAGCUCUGCACAUCGAAAGUUCAAGGUUUCCUUGGCAAUGGUAAUCAACCAAGGGUUAGGCGGUCCUAAGGGAAAGCCGAGAGGCGUACUCGAUGGAUAGUGGGUUAAUAUUCCCACCCUUGAAUAUAUUUUUAACAAGUUGCGCAAUGUAGUAAUUCUAGCGGAUAAUUGGAUUUCACGCUCUUGGUCUAAGGAGCAAUCUGAAGACACAGAAAAUUCGGAAUUUAUUCCGGAAAUUAGAGUGAGCGCGUUGCCUAGAAAAGGCUUGUUAAGUUAAAUUUAUUUAAACCGUACCGUAAACCGACACAGGUGAACAAGCGUAAGUAUGCUAAGAUGAACGGGUGAGACCUCGUUAAGGAACUAGGCAAAUUAGUGGCCGUAAGUUCGCAAUAUGGCCUGCCCAAGUCCGCAAGGAUUUUGGGCUGCAACAACCGUACUUCAACCGACUGUUUAUCAAAAACACAGCUCCCUGCUAAACUCGUAAGAGGAAGUAUAGGGGGUGAUCCCUGACCAGUGCUGGAAGGUUAAGCUUGGGGGUCGUAUCCGCAAGGGUAUGGCUCACUGAGUGAAGCCCCAGUGAACGUCGGCGAUAACUAUAAUCGUCCAAAGGUAGCGUAAUCCCUUGCCAGGUAAGUUCUGGCCCGCAUGAAUGGGUUAACGAGUUGAAGACUGUCUCGACGAGGCGCCCGGUGAAAAUGCAGUACCAGUGAAGAUGCUGGUUACCUGCGGCUAGACGGAAAGACCCCGGAAGCUUUACUGUAGUUUGAUAUUGACUUAUGAUUUUUAAUGCGUAGUGUAGUGGGUAGCCUAUGAAGCGGUAAUUUCGGUUACUGUGGAGGCGACGAUGAAACACCCAUCUUUGAAAAUUAUAAUUCUAAUUCACUUUAUUGUGAUGACAGUGUUAAAUGGGCAGUUUAAAUGGGGCAUUUGCCUCCUAAAGAGUAAUGGAGGCGUUUAAAGGUUAGCUAGCUCCGUAUGGAAAUCGGAGCGAUAGGGCAAAGCCAUAAGCUAGCUUUACUGCAAGACGUAUAUGUCGCGCAGUUGCGAAAGCAGAACUUAGUGAACCGACUUGAUUUUUAUAGAAAACAAGAAGAUCAUCAGCCAAAAGCUACUCCGGGGAUAACAGGCUAGUAGAGCCCGAGAGUCCAUAUCGACGGCUCUGUUCGGCACCUUAAAGACAUUGGGGUACCAUAGUAGCAAUACUAUAAACCUAAUUAGUCUGUUAUUUAUAAUUUUUAUAAUCUUUUCAAAAAAAGGUUAAACAUUGGCUUAUAACGGAGAACGCCAUAUUAUUUGCUCAAAUAUAUGGUCAACCCCGUGGGAAGUUUACAAUUAUUUAAUUGUAUAACCCCGUAGAGACUUGUUCUAAUUUGUAGAACAGAUAAAAGUUUAUUUAAAACUUUUAUAACACGCCAACGCCUCGUUAAGCGAGGAUGAAGAUAUAGUCCGAUCCUUAGAGUAAUCUAAGAAAAAUGCUGACAGCGAUGUCGGCUCAACACAUCCUGGGGGUGAAGCCGCUCCCAAGGGUUUGGCUGUUCGCCAAUUAAAGUGUUACGUGAGCUGGGUUCAAACCGUCGUGAGACAGGUUGGUCCCUAUCUACCGCAGGCGUUGAGUUUUGAGGGGAUUUGCUCCUAGUACGAGAGGACCGGAGUGAACUGACCUCUGGUGUACCAGUUGUUCUGCCAAGAGCAUCGCUGGGUAGCUAUGUCGGGAAUAGAUAAGCGCUGAAAGCAUAUAAGCGCGAAACUAACCCCAAGAUGAGAACUCUUAGAUUUCCCGCAGAUGACGGGAUUGAUAGGCUUCAGGUGUAAGGCUAGUAAUAGCUUCAGCCGAGAAGUACUAAUAAAUCAUACAUUU